CACCUGUCUAACCUUUCCAGCUUAUGCUGACCACCUCUUUCCUUCCUGAAGAUUCACACUUCUAAUUUUCUAUUCAAGGAAGGUGACUUAGUAAGGCUGGAGAGAAGAGAUACAUUAAGAGGCAGACUCCUUGAAGAUCAGAAACUAGAGAGAAAAGAAGGUUGCCCAUGAGACACAGAAAAGAGGGCUGAGUUUCUGUCAUCUGGCAAGAAGAUCCAAUAAACAUGCUGUUUUUUUCUCCAAAGAACACAUGAGAUAAGUGAUGAAGAAAGAAUGCAAGUGUUGAAGCAAUAGCAAUAGCAACCAUGACCAGAAAACCUGCUAUAACUUCAG
Long non-coding RNA from Heterocephalus glaber (naked mole-rat), 333 nucleotides. NCBI's taxonomy places the organism in Eukaryota, Metazoa, Chordata, Mammalia, Rodentia, Bathyergidae. The record is from Ensembl.